UGUUGUUUGGGGGCUUCUGCCUCGGCGCCGCGGGUGCCACCUCCCGGGACGCUGCCCACGGCGUCCCCGGUUGCGAUCAAACAAAUAAUAGAAGUCUGUUGAAGCUUUGUCCUGACCUAUCCUGGAAGUAGAAGAAUACUCUGGAGAAAGGAGCAUUGCAAGCACAAAGAAUAAGCUUCCUCAAUCCUGAGAGAGAGAAUUAAAGUCUAACUCUCCAAAUGUAAGUCAUCUGUACUCUACAUAUUUUUCAUCCUUCAGUUUUUAUUGCU
Long non-coding RNA from Saimiri boliviensis boliviensis (Bolivian squirrel monkey), 269 nucleotides. Lineage: Eukaryota; Metazoa; Chordata; Mammalia; Primates; Cebidae. The record is from Ensembl.